AGAGAGAGACAUGCGCGCAUAUCAAUAAGCGGAGGAAAAGAAACUAACAAGGAUUCCCCUAGUAACGGCGAGUGAAGCGGGAAGAGCUCAAAUUUGAAAUCUUAAAGGGUUUCCCUUUACGAAUUGUAGUUUAAAGAAGUGUUUUCUGUUGAGGUUUUGGUAAAAGUUCUUUGGAAUAGGACAUCAUAGAGGGUGAGAAUCCCGUAUUUGACCUUUACUUUCAACUUUGUGAUACACUUUCAAAGAGUCGGAUUGUUUGGGAAUGCAGUCCAAAAUGGGUGGUAAAUUUCAUCUAAAGCUAAAUAUUGGCGAGAGACCGAUAGCGAACAAGUACCGUGAGGGAAAGAUGAAAAGAACUUUGAAAAGAGAGUUAAACAGUACGUGAAAUUGUCAAAAGGGAAGCGUUUGACACCAGUGUUGUUUUUCUGAAAAUCAAUUAAAGAACUGUUUAUGCUAAGCUGUUUAGACUUUAUCAGCUAUCUGUUUAGUUUUGAGCUUUUCUUUAAUGCACUUUUCAGUUAACAAGUCAACAUCAAUUUCUUUUGCUGUAAAAAAGCUUGAGGAAGGUGGCUUGAGAUUCGUCUUAAGUGUUUAUAGCCUCUUGCCUAUGCAGUCGGAGAGAUUGAGGUCUGCAGCGUAGAUCCUUCGGGGCUAAAUGCAUUUGUGCUAAGUUAUAACAUUUUAUAGACAACUUGUUGACUAUGAUUUGUCUUGUAGCUUACUCGCUUAUGUUAUUUUACCUACGCUUAGGAUGUUGACGCAUGAGAUAUACGC
Molecule: ribosomal RNA, 774 nt
Filed under: uncultured Neocallimastigales
Lineage: Eukaryota; Fungi; Neocallimastigomycota; Neocallimastigomycetes; Neocallimastigales
Description: partial large subunit ribosomal RNA
Rfam family: Eukaryotic large subunit ribosomal RNA
Source: RNAcentral